This 232-nucleotide ribosomal RNA is filed under the name uncultured bacterium. Its description in RNAcentral is "partial 16S ribosomal RNA". It matches the Rfam family "Bacterial small subunit ribosomal RNA", at positions 99 to 334 of the family's 1533-position model. The record is from RNAcentral.
CGGACGGGUGAGUAAUGUCUGGGAAACUGCCCGAUGGAGGGGGAUAACUACUGGAAAACGGUAGCUAAUACCGCAUAACGUCGCAAGACCAAAGAGGGGACCUUCGGGCCUCUUGCCAUCGGAUGUGCCCAGAUGGGAUUAGCUAGUAGGUGGGGUAACGGCUCACCUAGGCGACGAUCCCUAGCUGGUCUGAGAGGAUGACCAGCCACACUGGAACUGAGACACGGUCCAG